UCUUCACAGAAUUGCAAUCUAUUCUUGCUAAAAGAUGCCAACUUUUGCAGACAGCCAUCGCCAGCCUUUGGCAUUGUUUACGUUACAGUAUAAAAUUUCAUACGUCAAAAUCAAAAUGAGUUCCAAAACUGAAUGAAAAUGUGAAUACAAUUCAAAAUAUAUUCAAAAUUCCAUUUUAAGCCGCUUUCUGCUGCUCUUUGUAGUGAGAACGUGUACAAAACGGCCCCAAAAUCGCCCCAAAAUGAAACAUUCCUAAUAUAAAGAAUUUGCCAAUUGUCGUAUUCUGAAGUAUGGAAUUUUAUAGUCAACACCAAAUAAAAUAUUUGACGCCAUUUCCCGCGGAAAAAGGCCAUUUUAAAGUUCUUGGAAAUAUUAGUAGUUUUCCUGACAAAAGGCCUUUGGGGUGAUCAUCUAAUCGCCAUAUAUCGAGGGUCGCCCAGGAGUUUUUAGGGAACAAGACAUGUUUUGCGAUGGAACAAAGCCAAAAGUCAUAGGGAACAUGGUUGAAACUUUGUCUAAUUCAAUUCAAAGAACCUGUUCGCAGGCUAUCUUUGUGGAAAACAAGGGAGCCCCCCCCCCUCUACAUAUCCCAGGUUAAAUGAACAGUACAACGCAGGGGCGUAGGAAGCGGGGGGGCACGGGGGGCACGUGCCCCCCCCAAUUUUUUUAAAGGACUAAAAGUGCCCUUUUUUGUGAUAAAAAGUGCCCUUUUUGUGUUGAAAAGUGCCCUUUUUUUGUGAGGAAAAGUGCCCCUUUUGUAGAAGCUAAUGUCGCUGUAAAUACUAAAUUAAAACAAUAGGUGCCGUUUUUGUGUGAAAAUUUACAAAUUUUUUUUAAAAAUUAGGUCACAAACAUAAAUUUCGGUAUGAUACGACGGAAAAUUUUCCUCAGGAGAAAUUUCUCCCCCCC
Molecule: non-coding RNA, 909 nt
Organism: Paramuricea clavata
Lineage: Eukaryota; Metazoa; Cnidaria; Anthozoa; Malacalcyonacea; Plexauridae
Source: the annotation of a GenBank genome assembly